GAUGGCAUAACUGGACCUGCCAGGCCAGUUGUUUGUUCGCCUACGUCAGACAACGCACCCGCCGUUUGAGGUUCUUCUUGCUGAGGCUCUUCAGUCUGUAGUGCUUCCUGUAUUGAUUGAGGAGAUGUUCCUUGCUGUGCUUGGACUCCUGGAGGAGAAGGGGAAGAUUCCACCGGGAUUGGAAACACCGGAGGAGGAGG
Molecule: long non-coding RNA, 200 nt
Filed under: Sorghum bicolor (sorghum)
Lineage: Eukaryota; Viridiplantae; Streptophyta; Magnoliopsida; Poales; Poaceae
Description: long non-coding RNA (SBIC_LNC005000)
Source: RNAcentral